UGGCGGACGGGUGAGUAAUGUCUGGGAAACUGCCCGAUGGAGGGGGAUAACUACUGGAAACGGUAGCUAAUACCGCAUAACGUCGCAAGACCAAAGAGGGGGACCUUGGGCCUCUUGCCAUCGGAUGUGCCCAGAUGGGAUUAGCUAGUAGGUGGGGUAACGGCUCACCUAGGCGACGAUCCCUAGCUGGUCUGAGAGGAUGACCAGCCACACUGGGACUGAGACACGGCCAG
Molecule: ribosomal RNA, 233 nt
Filed under: uncultured bacterium
Lineage: Bacteria
Description: partial 16S ribosomal RNA
Rfam family: Bacterial small subunit ribosomal RNA
Source: RNAcentral